GCAAGGAAACUUUAUAGUAACUUACCUAUGUGUUAAAAUAGUAUCAGAUUCCAUGCCAGAGAAAACUGACUAAACCAUUGCCUGGCCUCUGCCUAUAGACUGCUGGCACUGAAGUGGGAAAAAUA
This 125-nucleotide small nucleolar RNA is filed under the name Castor canadensis (American beaver). RNAcentral describes it as "Small nucleolar RNA SNORA42/SNORA80 family (ENSCCNG00000000463.1)". Lineage: Eukaryota; Metazoa; Chordata; Mammalia; Rodentia; Castoridae. The record is from RNAcentral.